Molecule: long non-coding RNA, 199 nt
Filed under: Hordeum vulgare
Lineage: Eukaryota; Viridiplantae; Streptophyta; Magnoliopsida; Poales; Poaceae
Description: long non-coding RNA (HVUL_LNC016587)
Source: RNAcentral
CGCAGAUCUUGUUGAUAAAUUGUUGAGCGAGUCAGUGCCAUCUCGCGCUCUUCUUCUAGUAGAUCCACUCCGUCUUGCCUGGCUUGCUCUGCUUCGGCUUCGGAGAAGAGUUCGACUCGUGGAGAGUUGUGAAGCAAGUCACUCGGAAGGACCGCCUCUGCUCCAUAAACGAGGAAGAACGGGGAUCACCCUGUAGAUC